Molecule: ribosomal RNA, 525 nt
Filed under: Vibrio cholerae TMA 21
Lineage: Bacteria; Pseudomonadati; Pseudomonadota; Gammaproteobacteria; Vibrionales; Vibrionaceae
Description: bacterial SSU rRNA
Rfam family: Bacterial small subunit ribosomal RNA
Source: RNAcentral
AGAGUUUGAUCAUGGCUCAGAUUGAACGCUGGCGGCAGGCCUAACACAUGCAAGUCGAGCGGCAGCACAGAGGAACUUGUUCCUUGGGUGGCGAGCGGCGGACGGGUGAGUAAUGCCUGGGAAAUUGCCCGGUAGAGGGGGAUAACCAUUGGAAACGAUGGCUAAUACCGCAUAACCUCGCAAGAGCAAAGCAGGGGACCUUCGGGCCUUGCGCUACCGGAUAUGCCCAGGUGGGAUUAGCUAGUUGGUGAGGUAAGGGCUCACCAAGGCGACGAUCCCUAGCUGGUCUGAGAGGAUGAUCAGCCACACUGGAACUGAGACACGGUCCAGACUCCUACGGGAGGCAGCAGUGGGGAAUAUUGCACAAUGGGCGCAAGCCUGAUGCAGCCAUGCCGCGUGUAUGAAGAAGGCCUUCGGGUUGUAAAGUACUUUCAGUAGGGAGGAAGAUGGUUAAGUUAAUACCUUAAUCAUUUGACGUUACCUACAGAAGAAGCACCGGCUAACUCCGUGCCAGCAGCCGCGGUA